RNAcentral lists this ribosomal RNA (468 nucleotides) under uncultured bacterium. RNAcentral describes it as "partial 16S ribosomal RNA". It matches the Rfam family "Bacterial small subunit ribosomal RNA", at positions 28 to 507 of the family's 1533-position model. The record is from RNAcentral.
GACGAACGCUGGCGGCGUGCUUAACACAUGCAAGUCGAACGGAAAGGCCCUGCUUUUGUGGGGUGCUCGAGUGGCGAACGGGUGAGUAACACGUGAGUAACCUGCCCUUGACUUUGGGAUAACUUCAGGAAACUGGGGCUAAUACCGGAUAGGAGCUCCUGCUGCAUGGUGGGGGUUGGAAAGUUUCGGCGGUUGGGGAUGGACUCGCGGCUUAUCAGCUUGUUGGUGGGGUAGUGGCUUACCAAGGCUUUGACGGGUAGCCGGCCUGAGAGGGUGACCGGCCACAUUGGGCCUGGGAUACGGCCCAGACUCCUACGGGAGGCAGCGGUGGGGAAUAUUGCACAAUGGGCGGAAGCCUGAUGCAGCAACGCCGCGUGCGGGAUGACGGCCUUCGGUUUGUAAACCGCUUUCGCCUGUGACGAAGCGUGAGUGACGGUAAUGGGUAAAGAAGCACCGGCUAACUACGUG